AAAAAAUUAAAAAUUUCUGAAAACAAAACUCCUUCAACAUAUGACGAACCGGAGGAAACAAUUGAUGUUCCAAAAAAAAACAAUCGAAAAAAGAAACCUAGCGAUCAGAAAAAAACAAAAAUUUCUGAAAACAAAACUCCUUCAACAUAUGACGAACCGGAGGAAACAAUUGAUGUUCCAAAAAAAAACAAUCGAAAAAAGAAACCUAGCGAUCAGAAAAAAGCUAAAGUUUCUGAAAAUAAAUCUCCUUCAAUGUAUGAUGAAACAGAUAAAACAAUUGAUUAUCCAAACGAAUACAAUCCAACUAGGAAAC
Molecule: long non-coding RNA, 313 nt
Organism: Biomphalaria glabrata
Lineage: Eukaryota; Metazoa; Mollusca; Gastropoda; Planorbidae
Exons: 3
Source: RefSeq, a predicted model, not a curated record